Tinamus guttatus (white-throated tinamou) is the source of this 117-nucleotide non-coding RNA. NCBI's taxonomy places the organism in Eukaryota, Metazoa, Chordata, Aves, Tinamiformes, Tinamidae. The record is from RefSeq and is a predicted model, not a curated record.
AGAAGCUGAAGCUCCACUUCCCGAGACACCGGGAGGUCCGAGACGCGCACCAGCGAUGCAACUGCCCAGCAGGCCCGCCUGGGGACAAAGGCGCCAUGGGCAUCCCGGGACGGCCGG